This 468-nucleotide ribosomal RNA is filed under the name uncultured bacterium. RNAcentral's name for it is "bacterial SSU rRNA". It matches the Rfam family "Bacterial small subunit ribosomal RNA", at positions 28 to 515 of the family's 1533-position model. The record is from RNAcentral.
GACGAACGCUGGCGGCGCGCUUAACACAUGCAAGUCGAGGGGUGUUUACACCACUGGCGCACGGGUGAGUAACGCGUAGGCAAUCUGCCCCUAUCACAGACAUAACGUCGGGAAACUGGCGCUAAUAUCUGAUGAGGACUCCGGUUCAAAGUAGUGAUAUGGAUAGGGAUGAGCCUGCGUUAGAUUAGCUAGUUGGUGAGGUAACUGCUCACCAAGGCGACGAUCUAUAGCUGGUCUGAGAGGACGAUCAGCCACACUGGAACUGAGACACGGUCCAGACUCCUACGGGAGGCAGCAGUCGAGAAUAGUCUACAAUGGUCGGAAGACUGAUAGUGCGACGCCGCGUGAACGAUGAAUCCCGUUCGGGGUGUAAAGUUCUUUUAUAUGUGAGCAGUGCUUUCUUAUAUUAACAGUAUGGGGAAGAGAUAUUAGCAUAUGAAUAAGCAACGGCUAACUCCGUCCAGCACG